AUUGAACGCUGGCGGCAUACCUUACACAUGCAAGUCGAACGGUAACGGGCCUUCGGGUGCCGACGAGUGGCGAACGGGUGAGUAAUGCAUCGGAACGUACCUUUCAGUGGGGGAUAACGUAGCGAAAGUUACGCUAAUACCGCAUAUUCUGUGAGCAGGAAAGCAGGGGAUCGCAAGACCUUGCGCUGAUUGAGCGGCCGAUGUCAGAUUAGCUAGUUGGUGAGGUAAAGGCUCACCAAGGCGACGAUCCGUAGCGGGUCUGAGAGGAUGAUCCGCCACACUGGAACUGAGACACGGUCCAGACUCCUACGGGAGGCAGCAGUGGGGAAUUUUGGACAAUGGGGGCAACCCUGAUCCAGCCAUGCCGCGUGAGUGAAGAAGGCC
This 384-nucleotide ribosomal RNA is filed under the name uncultured bacterium. RNAcentral's name for it is "bacterial SSU rRNA". It matches the Rfam family "Bacterial small subunit ribosomal RNA", at positions 30 to 416 of the family's 1533-position model. The record is from RNAcentral.